RNAcentral lists this transfer RNA (70 nucleotides) under Polychrus marmoratus (common monkey lizard). Its description in RNAcentral is "tRNA-Val". The record is from RNAcentral. Lineage: Eukaryota; Metazoa; Chordata; Lepidosauria; Squamata; Polychrotidae.
CAAAAAGUAGAUUAAACAAACCCCCUAACUUACAAUUAGGCCAUAUUAGUAACCAACCUAAUCUUUUUGU